RNAcentral lists this ribosomal RNA (302 nucleotides) under uncultured bacterium. RNAcentral describes it as "partial 16S ribosomal RNA". It matches the Rfam family "Bacterial small subunit ribosomal RNA", at positions 508 to 807 of the family's 1533-position model. The record is from RNAcentral.
GCAGCCGCCGCGGGAAUACGAAGGGGGCUAGCGUUGCUCGGAAUGACUGGGCGUAAAGGGCGCGUAGGCGGCGAUCAAAGUCAGGCGUGAAAUUCCUGGGCUCAACCUGGGGGCUGCGUUUGAUACUUGAUUGCUAGAGUGGGAAUGAGGGUCGUGGAAUUCCCAGUGUAGAGGUGAAAUUCGUAGAUAUUGGGAAGAACACCGGUGGCGAAGGCGGCGACCUGGUCCUUGACUGACGCUGAGGCGCGAAAGCGUGGGGAGCAAACAGGAUUAGAGACCCCCGUAGUCCCUGUCUCUUAUAC